CAUGUCUUUAUGAUUUUUUUUUAAAGUCUGUUCUGCUCAAUGAUAUUAAUUAAAUAGCUGCAGUAUCUUAACUGUACAAAGGUAGCAUAAUAAUUUGUUUCUUAAUUGGGGGCUUGUAUGAAGGAUUUGCCAAGAAAUAAGCUGUCUUAUUUUAAUUUUAUUGAAAUUAACUUUUAAGUUCAAAGGCUUAAAUAAAAUUUUUAGACGAGAAGACCCUAUAGAACUUUAUAUAAAGCUUUAUUUUAAUUAUUUAUAAUUUGUUAUUAGAAUUUGAUUUUGUAUUUAAUUGGGGUGAUUUAAAAAUUAAACAAACUUUUUAUUCUAAAAAUUAUUUAUUUAUAAAUAAAAAUUCUAAAAUUUUUAAGAAAAAUAUAAGUUACCUUAGGGAUAACAGCGCAAUAUUAAUUUAAAGUUCUUAUUUAAAUUAUUGAUUGCGACCUCGAUGUUGGAUUAAAA
RNAcentral lists this ribosomal RNA (456 nucleotides) under Chauliognathinae sp. UPOL 001298. Its description in RNAcentral is "partial 16S ribosomal RNA". The record is from RNAcentral. Lineage: Eukaryota; Metazoa; Arthropoda; Insecta; Coleoptera; Cantharidae.